GACGAACGCUGGCGGCGUGCCUAAUACAUGCAAGUUGAGCGCUGAAGGUUGGUACUUGUACCGACUGGAUGAGCAGCGAACGGGUGAGUAACGCGUGGGGAAUCUGCCUUUGAGCGGGGGACAACAUUUGGAAACGAAUGCUAAUACCGCAUAAAAACUUUAAACACAAGUUUUAAGUUUGAAAGAUGCAAUUGCAUCACUCAAAGAUGAUCCCGCGUUGUAUUAGCUAGUUGGUGAGGUAAAGGCUCACCAAGGCGAUGAUACAUAGCCGACCUGAGAGGGUGAUCGGCCACAUUGGGACUGAAACACGGCCCAGACUCCUACGGGAGGCAGCAGUGGGGAAUAGUUGGGCAAUGGGGGAAACCCUGACCCAGCAACGCCGCGUGAAGGAAGAAGGCUUUCGGGUUGUAAACUUCUUUACCAGGGACGAAGGACGUGACGGUACCUGGAGAAAAGCCAACGGCUAACUACGUGCCAGCAGCCGCGGU
RNAcentral lists this ribosomal RNA (488 nucleotides) under uncultured bacterium. RNAcentral describes it as "bacterial SSU rRNA". It matches the Rfam family "Bacterial small subunit ribosomal RNA", at positions 28 to 521 of the family's 1533-position model. The record is from RNAcentral.